UUCCUCUCGGUUUUGCCUGAAGGGCGCAGGCUUUCAACCAGAAACAGGCUCAGACCCAAACACAGAACCACCGCUGGUUCUGCUGCAGCUGGAAGACAAAAUGUGGCUUCGAGAGGAGCUUCUGAAAGCCAUCUGGCAUGCAUUCACGGCCCUGGACGUGGACCACCGUGGGAAAGUCUCCAAAUCUCAGUUAAAGGUGCUGUCCUACAACCUGUGCACAGUAAUGAAGAUCCCCCAUAACCCUUUGACCUUUGAAGAGCAUUUUAAAGAAGAUAAUAAGGGACCUCUGUCUAAUGAGGGCUACAUGCCUUACCUCAACAGGUACAUUCUUGAUAAGGUGCAGGAGGAUUUCGAUGUGCUGGAGUUCUACCGGAUGUGCUGGACUUUGUGUUACAAAAAGAAUAUUCACCCUCAUCGUCUAAUCAUCUCAGAUGCUGAUGCGUUCAAAGUCUGGUGCAUUUUUAACUUCCUGUCGGAAGACAAAUACCCGCUAGUGAUUGUCUUUGAGGAGGUCGAGUAUUUUCUGCGAAAGCUGACGGAGGCCAUGGGAAUCGGGUGGUGUGAGGAAAAGUUCACAGACUACAGAAUGCGGCAGAACACGAAGACCUGCCUGACUGUAUGGGAGCUGAUCGAGCUGGUGGGAGUCAUCUACUUCAGCAACGACGUGGACCGGCAGAUCCUGUCCAUGAGCAUCAACGAGGUGUUUUCGGAGCUCAUCCUGGACAUUCUCAAGCAGGGCUACAUGAUGAAAAAAGGCCACAAGAGGAAGAACUGGAUGGAGCGCUGGUUCGUCCUUCGACCCACUUCGCUGACCUACUACGUCUGCGAAGACCUCACGGAGAAGAAGGGAGACAUCGUUCUUGACCAAAACUGCUGUGUGGAGUCUCUGCUAGACAGAGACGGGAAGAAGUGCCUUUUUAUUAUUAAGUGCCUGGACAAAAGCUUUGAGAUCAGCGCUUCGGACAAAAAGAAGAAGCAGGAAUGGAUUCAAGCUAUACAAACGUGCAUCCAGCUGCUGAGGCUCGGCCUGCUGUCUCCGCACCGCGAGGCGCGGCUGAGGCGUCGGGAGCUGCGGCAGAAGCAGCAGCUGGAGGACCAGGACCUGACGGAGAGGAUGAAGAACCUCCAGGCGGCGAAUGAGGCCAAACAGAGACAACUGGAAGACAUGAGGCUGAAAAUGGAGGAGGCCAAAGCCAAAGCAGAGCUUGAGGAGCUCCGGAGGAAGAAAAAUCAGUCAGACCUGCAGGAUCAGUACAGAUUAGACCUGGAGAGAGAAAAAAUGGUGCGGCAGGAGAUGGAGGAGCAGAUGGCUCAGAAGUCCAGUGAGCUGGAUCAGUACCUCCAGCGGGUCCGAGAGCUCGAAGACAUGUACCACCGGCUGCAGGAAGCCCUAGAGGACGAGAGGCAGGCCAAGCAGGAUGAGGAGGCCAUGAGGAAGCUGCAGGCCAGGCUGUUGGAGGAAGAGGCGGCAAAGAGGGCGGAGAUGGAGCAGAUCUACCUGAAGCAGCAGAGGACGCUGACUCAGACGGAGGCGGAGAAGGAGGAGCUGAUGGCCGAGCAGCUGGUCAAGGAGAGAGAGCUGCAGGCGGCGUCUCAGCAGCUGGACAGACUGGAGAAGGAACGGCAGGGGGCGCUGGAGCAGUAUCAGGAGGUAUCACGAAAACUGGAGCGAGCGGCCAACAAGACAAAGACUUGGAAAGAUAAGGUGGCCAAACACGAAGGGCUGGUUCGUCUCAUCCAGCCAGGUCAUAAAGGAGCUCAGAGAAUCACUAACUGGGGCCCGGCCUCGUUCACCGACAUUGAGCUGGAGCUGAGGAAGAAGUCCUGGCAGGAGAAGAAGAACCAGGGAGCUCCGGCUGAGUGAUGGAUGGUCCGAAUAAAUCAGUGACCUCUUAACACAUCAUCAGUUAGUUGAAUUCAUCAGUUUUAAGUGGCAGCACGAGAACGGGACAUUUUGAUUUGUAUUUCCUGUGCAGGAGCUGAAAUCUGUGAAACAAACAAGUAUAAAAUCAUUGCUUUAAUAGUAUUUCAGUAUACUUAAUGAGUGGCUUUUGUGUUGUUUUCCCCCCCGUUGUUCUUAAAUGCAUCACAUGCCCUGCAAAAGUAUUCACACCCCGUUAGGAUUUGUCAGGUUAUGCAAUGAGAUUUUAUGUGACAGAUCAACAAAAGAUGGAUAAAUGUGAAGUGGAAAGAAAUGUGGUUUGUCUUUUCA
Molecule: RNA transcript, 2212 nt
Organism: Xiphophorus hellerii (green swordtail)
Lineage: Eukaryota; Metazoa; Chordata; Actinopteri; Cyprinodontiformes; Poeciliidae
Gene: swap70a
Gene name: switching B cell complex subunit SWAP70a
Exons: 13
Source: RefSeq, a predicted model, not a curated record